This is a long non-coding RNA of Leopardus geoffroyi (Geoffroy's cat), 1500 nucleotides long. RefSeq lists it as uncharacterized. The transcript is spliced from 3 exons. NCBI's taxonomy places the organism in Eukaryota, Metazoa, Chordata, Mammalia, Carnivora, Felidae. The record is from RefSeq and is a predicted model, not a curated record.
UGGCGCCUAACAUCCCUGGAAAGGCCAUAUCGACAUGAGUCUCUAAAUUGGAGCCAAUGCAAGGAAACUCACAUGCUUUUCUUCUGUUUGAUCAAAACUUCUCUGGAGAAUAAAUCUAAGGCCUUGGAUCAUCUCACGGUAUGGCAACUGGAUUACAAAAGCGAGUAUCUUAAGAGAGACGUGGUACAAAGGAAUGACUUAUGCUUGGAAAUCAUGCAGCUUUCUUCUGUCAGAUUCUCUUUGAUAAAGUGUCAUGAUGGAAAUGAAACUCCUGUCUUGCAGUCAAACCUCAAUGAGGUUUGCUUCCUGCACUGGCUGAACCUACAUGUCUUCCUAAUUUGUAUAAUCAGAGGCCACCUGAAGAAUGGAUCAGUAGCAUCCUGGAAGAGCUGCGAGGAAAAUUUACCUGCUUAAAUUAUAUCCUCAGUCUAAAACUCCCACACCUGUCGUGUUUUUGCACUUUCUUCAUUCAUGCCUCCUCUGUGAUCAGCACUGGGCUUCCCAAAUCAUCCAAUCUUCCAGCAGGUAUCAGGUGGUAUGUCUAUUUUUAGCAUUAUCAUGGGCUAAGUGUUGUAAAGAAAACAAUGAUACAAAGAUGAAUGGAUCAGAGAUUCAGACAUAAGAAGCUCCCUAUUAAGGUGGGGGGACAGAUAAACAGACAAAUUAAAAACUGUGACAAAUGCUAACACCUCUCUCCUAGAGAGUACUGAAUUAAAUUGAAAAAAAGUCCCUCAAACUGGCAAUUAGAUCUCAAUGAUGGCACCUUAAAGAGAGCAGUUUCAGGAAAGAAGGUGAAAGCCACGUUAUUUUGGAGUUGUACUGAUUGGGUGGUUGUAGAAUGACCACAAUGAACUGUUCUAUAGUAAAUUUUGCAUAAAAAUGUAUCACCACAAGAUGGUAGCUAAUGGGAACUCAGAUGUCAGGAGAACAUUUGUUUAUCUGCUUUAAAGAUGAGAGAUUUGUGGUAUGAACUUGCUAUUGUGAAGGAACUUCAUGCCUCAAAUCUCAGAAGUUUGUGUGUUUUUUUGUUGUUGAAUUUUGCUUUUUUUUUUUCAAGUUUUUAAGUCAACUUUUAAAAUGCAAAUACUACUGAGAAGAGUAGGCUCUUAGUAAAAUCUGUCAGUUGUCAGUUAACACCUUAGCAGGGCACAGGAUGCUAGGGGGUGCCAAGAGCAGACAGGAGAAAUGCUGCUCCUGACGAGGUGGGAGAGCACCCAAUAUCCGUUUCUUCACAGUUGCGCCUGGGAGUCAGCCAGAGAAUCCCAGCUGGUCCUGGUUUGACAAACAAUCCUCAUUCUCAUUCAAUUGCCCAGAGUAUAGGAACACAAACAGGACUCAAAUAAAUGCUUUUGCAAAUUGUUCUCCCUUGCUGGGAUUAGUUUUUAAAUCAAUGAAGAUAUAGAUUAUAGAAGCAAACCAGGGAUUACAGAAGAAUAAUUUUGAUUACUACAAAUAAUACUAAAAUGAUGCAUGUUUAUGAACAGCUAAAAAAUAUAAAAG